GCUGGGCGCUGUGGUGAAUGCCUGUAAUCCCAGCAGCUCAGGAGGCUGAGGCAGGAGGAUCACGCACGAGUUCAAAGCCAGCUUCAGCAAUGGCGAGGCACUAGGCAACUCAGUGAAACCCUGUCUCUA
Molecule: small RNA, 129 nt
Filed under: Marmota monax (woodchuck)
Lineage: Eukaryota; Metazoa; Chordata; Mammalia; Rodentia; Sciuridae
Source: RNAcentral